Aphis gossypii (cotton aphid) is the source of this 2197-nucleotide RNA transcript. RefSeq lists it as uncharacterized. The record is from RefSeq and is a predicted model, not a curated record. The transcript has 4 exons. Lineage: Eukaryota; Metazoa; Arthropoda; Insecta; Hemiptera; Aphididae.
AACAUAGCCAUGAGUAAUGAUUUAUCGUCGAUAAUAAUAAUUAUUAUUUUCCGAUGUAUGACCGUCAUUGUUUGGUGUGUCGAAACGUAUGUAGCAAGUAGUCGACUAGUCUUAGAUAUGAGUAUUACAUUGUCAAUGAAUAGAUCGUAAAACGAAAAAAUUCUUAAGCGGUUUGUUUUCGUGUUCGUACCUACAUGAUGUUGCGCAAUGCACAAGACAAAUGCGAUUUUGUUUGUUUGUAUUUACCGCGAUAGCUUUGAACAAUUGAACGUCGUGAUGGCAGGCUUCCGGUCAGUCGUAGGAUUCGUAUAACUAGUAGUUUAAGUCCGUGAUUCGGAAAACAUAAUCAGAAAAAAAUCUUAUAUUUCAAAGAAUGCGCCGAGUAAUGUAUUUUACAGAACAGCAGCGGCAUCUAGCGUAAAACGUUCUAAGUAUAAAAAAUAACGACGAGACAUUAUUUUCAAGCGGACAUCGCGAUUGUACUUAGGCGGAAUAAUGCACGUCUGAACACUACACAUUUUAACACUAUGGUCGGUGUUUUAUAAAAACCGUCGGACUCGUCGUGUUCGAAAUGGGAAAAUAAGUUAUCCUGAAAAUAAUAAAACGACGACGCCGUCGUAAACGUAGGAGUCUCAAAACAACAUUCAUGUAUGAGUCGUCUACAGCAACUUGUAGUUAUCGAGAAACGAAGCAUAGAACGCUCACCGAGUCUCUAGGAAUAUCUAGAGGUGGUGGCGCCAUAGUUAUAACCAGCCGGUCUGAUCUGAGCCGAAUAAAGUGGAAUUUCGCACACCGGAAAUGCUGGAUGAUCGGUCAUGUGUCAGCUGCAGCUGUUCGCGCUGUACAUUAUGUUGGAACAGGAGAAAUAUUAUUAUGUAUUUUCACACUUCUCCGUCCUAAAGCGGACGCACAUGGAGUUUUUAAGCGACCAGAGUACUCGUAGUGGCUUACGGUUAUCAGCAUCUUCACAUUAUCUACAGCGAAACUCGAUUAUGAUGUUGUAUACAACCAGCUCGAGAGCGGAACUUGCGAUGAUCACGUGAACCAUUGAUGAGAUGAUUGAAAAUAUAAAAACAUACCGUCGUGUACUCGAGUGUCGCAACACAAAAGUCAUAUUUAUUUUGUUGUUCUCGUUCGUCAUUCAUUAUUCCGUCAUUAUAUUAUAUUUCAUUACAUUUUAUUAUCAUCAGCCAAACGGAAUGAUUUUCAACGUCCCGGAGCGUCCUGAAAUUUACAUACAGUCGAAUACCGUCACGGAGGUCCGAAGUCUUAUGAAAAUGUAUCCUUUUUGGGAGCCGUUAAAUUCUACUGCGACGAUGCAAUAUGUUGUCGUGUCAUUAUAGUAAUACUAAUUGUACCAUCGAGUAACACCAUAAUAAUAUGUUAUAUACAUUGGUAUACGUUUGAAAUACAUAAUGUGCGCUCAAAAUGUGUAAAGACCUGUCACCGAACUCUCAUAAUAUUAUAAUUAAUAUAUUACUACAGUAUCUUGUUUAAUAUUACGGCGGUCCGCGGGUGGAGGGUGAUUACAUUUGUUUUAAUUAUUUUGCACCCCAAAACAAAUUGUCAUUCUUAAAUGUAUUUCAAAACCAAAAUGUUAACUACUUUAUUUUUAAAAUUUCACUACGCAAUUAUUCAAUAAAUACACAGGUAGUAAAAGUCUAAAAUUCAAACACGAGUCUCUAAUGACUACUCCUCAUUCUCUUCUUGCUGUGAAAUACAUCACUGGUUUAUUAGAUUACCCAUUUAUAUGUAUUGUACGAAGAAAAUACGAUACACGACGGUUAUUGUUUGCAUAUAAAUGCAGUUAAUUGGUAUGAAACGUUUGCCUUGGAUGUAGGUACAAUUUAUUUAGCGAAACGGUAUUUAUGCCGAUUAUAACAAUAAUAUUAUUAAGACGUAACCAUUGUCAUUGCAUUACGUAUACAUAAACCAUUUUGCAAUGAAAAUACGCGAAUAAUACUUAAUAAUAAUAUUAUGAUGGAAACGGUAUUUUCUCUGGAGCGGCCUUAGGUUUUGUGGCGCCCAGGACAAAUUUAUUUAUCGUGGACUCUGUUUACGACAAGAACAUUCGUACGAGAAUCCCAGUAUUUUUAUUAUAUUGUUUUGUACGAAAUUUCAUUUUAUAUUCUAGUUUCAUACUCAAUUAUUGUAUAAUAAUAUGCAGUAUAACUAUAAUCAGUUUGAUAUUAUUCGG